Long non-coding RNA from Drosophila mojavensis, 1983 nucleotides. RefSeq lists it as uncharacterized. The record is from RefSeq and is a predicted model, not a curated record. The transcript has 3 exons. NCBI's taxonomy places the organism in Eukaryota, Metazoa, Arthropoda, Insecta, Diptera, Drosophilidae.
UUGUAUAUUGUAUUGUAUAGAUUGUAUAUUCCCUAAUGUAAAAAUUGUAACUUUACUUAUUUUUGUAAGUUUUUUUUUUUAUAAUUAUUUAUCAAAUUGGCUUCCAAAUUGUACUGCACUUAACUAACAGCUUAGCAACGCCCUCAAAUUGAGCUACAUUAGACUAGUUAAGUGCAUAUGUUCAUAACUCUUAAUUAGCAGGUGCUUAAUCUGCUUUAAAAAAAAGCAAACAAAUUACAUUGCAAUGGCGCCUUGUAAAUAUUUAAUAACUACAAAAAAGAGCUGGAAGUAACUAAUUAAAAUAAAUAAAUGAACAUAUUUUAAUGUUUCGGAGUGUGCAUGCAUAAAAUAUUCAAGCGAUGCGACCGUAACUUAGAUUAAAUACCACGAGUAUCAAUGCUUGAAGCACCUACACCAAUACAUCUAUAAACAUACAAAUAUGUAGAUAUGUAUGUAUGUGUGCGCGCUUGACUCUGUAUCUCCGGGCACUUAAAGUGUGCUUGAUAUGUUAGCACCUAAAAGCUUACAGAGUAUUUGUUUUUGAGACGCCGCAGCGGAAACACCAAUUUUAUGAUCAAUAUUUAUUGUUUGGAGACUGCUUAUCAAUAUUAUUAUCAAGUAAAGUACAUGCGUACCUAAUAUUAAAAGUCUUUAAGACAUGUGUACAUACAAGUACAAUUACAUACAUAUUAACAUAUUCCUUCUUCUAUUAGUUGUGAAUUGCAAUUGAAUCGAUGACUUAAGAGAUUUGCAAUGUGGGCGCGUCUGUACAAUUAAAAAUAGCUGUAAACAUCGAAAGUAGCCAAAAAUAGAGCUGGGAAUUAAUUCGAGUUACUUGAGAACAUAGCACACACACUUGUGUGUACACAUAUAUACUCACUCACACCAGUGCAGUCCACGCGCAACUGUAAAGCAAACAACAAAAAAUUGAAACUACAGCAACCCAAGCAUUCAGACAGGCUAUAAAAAUCGACACACACACAUACAUACACCAACGGUUGUGUAGUUGCCAUAGUACUAGAGCGUGCUAGGCAGAGAGACAGAGAUAAAGAUAGAGAGAGGGAUCGAGCAAACUAGCGACAUGUGCAUGCGAUAAAAUGCAACGAGCAUAUACGCCUUAGAGGCAGUGCCAGUGUUUUCGACACUCUGGUCCGAGCGAAUGCAAGAGGAUGUGCAGUGUUUUCAACGCACGUGCCGACGCCUCGGUCAAUGAACCGCGCAAGAAACAAGAAGAGAGCAGAACGAACAUAGCAGAUGGAAUGAAUCGAUGAGGGAGGGCAACACAUAGCAAAUGCAGUGGCAAACGCGUGCAAGACUGAUGGAGUGCUACGUCUGCACUCUCUCUUAGUCGAACAGUGUAAUGGUGUGUGUAUGUGCGAGAGAGUUUUCAUUAUUAUAUUUUUGUUGUUGUUCAUUUUUGGUCGUUGCCGCGUGUAAUGCAGUUAUUAUUGACGCAGUCUGGACGUCGACACUCCCUCUGCUUCCAAUGUGAUCACUCUUUCUGCUGUUCUUCUUUUCCUUCGCUGCUCAAUAAAGCGAAGACGGAGAAUGAGAGAGACAGAGCGUAAAAGUGCCUAUUUACAAUCUGGCGACAUUAGCUCAACAAUUUUUCAAUUUCAACUUCUAUUGUACAACAAUAAAUGUCAUGCGCUAGCUGAACGUUAGAAGAGGAAGCAGCAAAUAGAACUGAGACAAAAACAACGCGGGCGACAGCAACAACCGCAACAAAACAGCUGCUGAGACGGCAAUAGUCAUAAAACUAAAAUGCUAAAGGUGUUUUAUAAUCAAGUAAUAUUCGAAUGAUAAUUAACUAAAUGCAUGUGUGCAUCAAUAUAUAUUCAUAUGUAUGUAUAUGUGUACUUGUGCAGUUAGACAAACAUGGAUUUACAUAUUUAUGCACAUGUAAUAAAUUACAGAUUUUUCUAACUUAUUUAUUGAUAUGAUACAAAACUAAUAGUCAUUAAAAAAGUAAAUAAUAAAAUG